Long non-coding RNA from Formica exsecta, 263 nucleotides. RefSeq lists it as uncharacterized. Lineage: Eukaryota; Metazoa; Arthropoda; Insecta; Hymenoptera; Formicidae. The record is from RefSeq and is a predicted model, not a curated record. The transcript has 2 exons.
UGUAUGUCCUGGAUGCCCUUUGGACGUCCUAAGGACAUCCUUGUGCUGUCUGGAAAGGGUUUUAUAAAUUAUUUAGAUGGUAUUCAUUUAUGAAUAUGAUUCAUUUAUUCAAAGAUUAUAAAUAUAAGACAAUAUAAAAUAAAUUUGAUACUUCUUCAAGGUACGAACCACCGUACAGACAAAUAACGUGUAAUAGUCACGUAAUGGCUGCGUUCAGUAUACAAAAGAUGCCACGAGACAUCCGUCUCGCCCUGUAGUUAAGA